AUCAAAGGGACUAAUUGAGUGCAAAUCUGUGCAAUUUUUUGAGUUGUGCAGUAUUGUAAAACUAUCCAAAAGUGUACCCCAGUGAAACUUCCCAUUUUUGGGGAAGGAACAAUUAAUGUCCUUUGAUGAGCUUACUCUGAGUGCUUUGUGAGAAGGCAUGUACAUAUGGAACAGAGGAGACCUAAAAGUCUGUGGGAUUUGAUCUCUGUCAUCCUCAGCUAAUGCUGAGGGGAGAACAGGUAUAGUGGUAUGAAUUUUGUUAACCCUCUAAGCUUGUGUAAAUAUUAAUUUUACCAGAUCAAACCUACGAUUUACUUUAUCAGCAGGCAAAACCAGAUCACAUUCCAGUCUAGCUCUAUUUUGUACCUGCUGCAGAGCUGGCAUUGCAGGUGAUGCAUGGAUUGAAGAUGGGGCUGAGUUCUGUUCAUCUAUCAGGCUUAGUCCCUGACCUUAAAUGUGUACAGCAUGAUAAUAUUGCAUGGCUUGUGACCCCUGCACUGGAAUCCUGCUGAGCAUGUGGCAAAGUGAGUGUCCCACAGUGUUACCCAGGAAUAACACACUGUCCUGGUCACUUUGGGUUCUGUUUUUCCAGGUUUGUGUUUCAAGUCAUGGAGAUAAUUGGAAAACUGCAGCUGCACAGUAUGGAGCGUGCUGUGUAAGCAGAGGUCUGAACACUGUCUACAGAGACAUCUAGAUACCAGGGUGUGUGUAAGAAAAACUGCUUAAUUAUGGACACAAUAACAAACACAUCUGCAGGGAAACACAGAAUUCACUGCAAGGAGGUGUCACUGGGAUGCAAUCUACAUACAUUAAUUGCUAGGUUGCUGUUUGAACAUUUGUGCACCACCUCUUCAGCCACCAUAUUAGGAACCCCCUUGCAUUUCAUUCUUGCACACAUGUAAUGAUUUUACAGAAUUUGAAAGAAUGUACCAUGGAUGGAAACAAGACAUGUUCCUGAAGAAAUGUUUUAUUCAACAAAACUUGCCCAACUUGAGCAUUUUCCAGGGUUAAAGAGAAAAGAGAUUCUGAAAAUUAUGCAAAUUGAGGGGUACUUCAGAUCUGGAAAAUAUAACCUGACUUUGAACUCCGGAGAAGCACAACAGAGCCACUACAUCUGGUUUCAGGACUAUGUUUUCAAAUUUAGACUGCUUUUCUUCACAAAUGUUAUGAGACAAGCUGGUCUGUUGAGGAAAAACAAAGGGAACAAAAAGUCUUUCCUCUGCUCUUUACCUCCUCGACAUAAUGGCAGUACCAGGUCAAUUUCUGGUUUACUUCAGAGGUAUUCAUAA
Molecule: long non-coding RNA, 1289 nt
Filed under: Zonotrichia albicollis (white-throated sparrow)
Lineage: Eukaryota; Metazoa; Chordata; Aves; Passeriformes; Passerellidae
Description: lncRNA (ENSZALG00000015356.1)
Source: RNAcentral